Molecule: long non-coding RNA, 302 nt
Filed under: Micromonas commoda
Lineage: Eukaryota; Viridiplantae; Chlorophyta; Mamiellophyceae; Mamiellales; Mamiellaceae
Description: long non-coding RNA (MCOM_LNC000373)
Source: RNAcentral
UGAGCUCGGUGGCGGCGAGGAGCGAGAAGACCCCUGGGGCGUUGUACGGGGAGAGGCCCACGUACAGCUCCUGGUAGGAGAAGAGCGCGCGGAGCCUCGGGUCCUUGAAGUACUUGGCCAUCUGGUUAAACUGGGGGAGGAGGAGGUCGAGGGGGUUCACCGCCAACGCGAGCGGGCCGACGCGGGAGAGGUCGACGAAGUCCAGGAUGGAGUUGGCGUCCCUCUCGAUGAACGCGGCGACGCCGUAGUCGAGGGAGGCGCGCGCGCGGCCGAGCCAGUCGAUGUAUCGACCGCCGGCUCCG